CUCGGCUGUACAAACAGCAAUUCCCUGUUGUAAAACCUCUCCCAAACCCUAAUUCGAUCCUCGAACAAACUGCAUCUGCAAUUAACAAUGUCUUCUCGCUAUAGAACGCUCUCCAGACCCGCGGUUAAUCUUCUCAAGUCCGCAAUUUCAACGCCUUCAUUGAGUCCCGCAUCUAUCCAAUCCUCACGCUCAUCUCCAUCUCUUUUCUCAAGGUUGUUCCCCCCACCCCGCACCCCCAUCCAAAACACUAAAUACAUUCCUUAACAAAGCCAUUUGUUAUUUUUGAAUCAAGAUUCAGUUUUGAACAUUCAUUUGUUAUCUCAUGUGGGUUUUGUUUAAAAUGGGUUUCUUGACCUUUUUUAUUUUUUAUUUUUCAAAACCGUAAAAACAAUUCCUCCUCGAUUGAAUGCCGUUCCGUUUUGUAUUCUUAACACAAGAUUCGAUUUUGAAUUGUAAUUUUCAGGGUCGAAAUGCUAAAUAUUUAAGACUUUUAUAUUCUUGAAAUUUUACUUUUGAAUUUUAGGCCAUUAGCUCAGAUUGAUGCAUUUCAGUCUCUACUACCUCUCCACACAGCUGUCUCCUCUGCUCGGCUUACCUCUUGCCUUGGGGCCGACACCAAAGGCCGCCGGUCGCUAUCUCAGGGUAUGCUCUGCAGUGCCAACCAUGGAGUUUGAUAAAUUUUAUAAUGUUUCUGUAAGCAUACUACUUUUAUCUUUAAUAGUUCCUUCCAAGUUGGUAGAUUUCUGUGAUUCUUUUGUUUUUUCAUUUAUGAGUUACUGAGUAAAUUAUCGUGUUCCUUUGUUUACAUGUACAUUAUGUGGGAUUGAUACAGGUGAUCAUGUUUGGCUAUGCUCAAUAAUAAGUCUCUAGAAAGGAAGUCUAUAAAACUAAGUGUUGUUAAUUAUGUUUAGCAAAAGAAGUAAGUUUGACUUACUUUUAAUGAGCCAGAAUGUAUUUGAUAGGUAAUUUCUAGUUUAACUAAAAUGAAACAUGGAUAGAGAGAGAGAGAGAGUUAUGGCAUGUGAUGACAUGCAUGAGGAGAGAUGUGGAGAGUAAGUGGUUAAUAUACAUCAUUCCAGAAUCCAUAAUGGAAAAGCUCGUUGUGUGGAUGUUGUACGCUCUUUAUUCUGCACUGUGCACAGUGCGUCUCUGGUUGCAAUUGUGACCUAUCAUCAAGCUCUUGUGGUAUAUUUUGACUCCUUGCUUGUCAUGAGUGUUGGUUGGGGUUGCUUAAGUUGUUGCCUAUAAGGGUCGCCUAUGACAUGUAUGAUCCAAUACGAUAAUUUUGUUGAAAGUUUUAACUUUAUAGCAGUUUGGCAACUUGUGCUAUAGAUUCUAGAUAUCUGUAUCGUCAAACUAUCUUUUUCAAAUGAAAUGUCUCGGUUUAACGAAAGCAAUCAAUAAGGCGAGAUUAUAACGUCUUUUUUUUCCCCAUUCAGAUGAUUUGAGGUUUUUAGGUAAAUAAUAAUUUGGGUGUAAAAUGUAGAUGCUACAUGAUGGAAGGAAAAUUGGUAAUUAUGCCGGGAGCUGGCUUUCAUUGGAAGUUUAGGUUUUGGGUGUAGGUAUUCUUUUAUUUUCUCGGACUAUUUUAUAUUUCAGUUCUUUUAACUCAUGUUUUAAACUUGUUUUUUGUUGAAAUUGUAAUUUUGGAGUGUAGGGUUGUGAUGUAGCCUAUUGAGGUCACAGUUCUCUAGCAUCGGUUGAGUUUCAAAUCAAAUCAUAAAACCCAACGGCCAAUAUACAUUUAUUAAUUUGUAAACUUCCGAGCAAGUGACGAAUUUGAUGUUUCUAUGGGUAAUUUUGCCCAAAUAGUGCAAAAGCGAGCUAUUAUCUUCUUUCUCUGCUUCCUCCUCCUCCCCUCCAUAUAAUCCUCAAAUCUUAAUUCUCUUAUGCUGUUCAUUUUACUACAUUAUCUUUGAUACAUUUAAACCCUAUGUAACAAUGCUCAACCAUCACCAACAAAAAGUUUGAUGUAUGUACACUUGGUGCAUGUUGGGUACACAACACUCGAUAGGACUUAAUAGUAUAAUAAACAAGAUUUUAGCUUAUUUUUCUCAGUACCAUCAAGAGCUAUCCAACCAUUUCUACCAAUCAUGCAGUCCGAGUUUAUCUGUUGUGCUCAUAAAUUCUCGUUGUCUGCAAUGCUUCAUAUGUACAAUUGAUAGCCUAUGAAUUUUCAUGAUUAUAAGGUUAAUUAGAAAACAUAACUUUUUCACCCAACUAUUUUUGUGUGUG
RNAcentral lists this long non-coding RNA (2235 nucleotides) under Olea europaea subsp. europaea. The record is from RNAcentral. Lineage: Eukaryota; Viridiplantae; Streptophyta; Magnoliopsida; Lamiales; Oleaceae.